ACUCAUACAUCGCAUUCAAUACUGCAGUUCUGGAGAAUGGUAGAGGAAAACGGAACUUCCGGUGUAGCGGUGAAAUGCGUAGAUAUCGGAAGGAACACCAGUGGCGAAGGCGGUUUUCUGGGCCAUUUCUGACGCUGAGGCGCGAAAGCUAAGGGAGCAAACAGGAUUAGAUACCCUGGUAGUCUUAGCUGUAAACUAUGGUCACUAGGUGUUUGUGGUAUCGACCCCAUGAGUGCCGAAGUUAACAUGAUUAGUGACCCGCCUGGGGAGUACGGUCGCAAGACUAAAACUCAAAAGAAUUGACGGGGGCCCGCACAAGCGGUGGAGCAUGUGGUUCAAUUCGAUGCUACGCGAAGAACCUUACCUAGGCUUGACAUGUAUGGAAUCUGUGGGAAACCAUAGAGUGCCUCGCAAGAGGAGCCAUAACACAGGUGCUG
RNAcentral lists this ribosomal RNA (437 nucleotides) under uncultured bacterium. RNAcentral describes it as "bacterial SSU rRNA". It matches the Rfam family "Bacterial small subunit ribosomal RNA", at positions 612 to 1043 of the family's 1533-position model. The record is from RNAcentral.